Molecule: ribosomal RNA, 381 nt
Filed under: Triticum aestivum (bread wheat)
Lineage: Eukaryota; Viridiplantae; Streptophyta; Magnoliopsida; Poales; Poaceae
Description: partial small subunit ribosomal RNA
Source: RNAcentral
AUGACGAAUAGAGAGGAUUUCAUCCAUUUCUCCGGUUUUACCCAACAACCGGGGCGCCUCAGCCUUCCUAGGGCGCCAUCAACCUCAGGCUCUUCCUCGGGAGAUCCCAAUGGGCAAGAAGGCCUCCUGCCGAUCGCCAACGUGGGGCGGAUCAUGAAGGACGUGCUGCCGCCGGAGGCCAAGGUCUCGAAGCACGCCAAGGAGGUGAUCCAGGAGUGCGCCACGGAGUUCAUCGGCUUCGUCACCGGCGAGGCCUCGGAGCGAUGCCGGCGGGAGCGGCGCAAGACGGUGAACGGCGACGACAUCUGCCACGCCAUGACCACCCUUGGCCUCGACAACUACGCCGGUGCCAUGCGCAGGUACCUGCAGAGGUACCGCGAG